This is a long non-coding RNA of Solanum pennellii, 520 nucleotides long. RefSeq lists it as uncharacterized. NCBI's taxonomy places the organism in Eukaryota, Viridiplantae, Streptophyta, Magnoliopsida, Solanales, Solanaceae. The record is from RefSeq and is a predicted model, not a curated record. The transcript is spliced from 2 exons.
GCUAUGGAUUAGGAUGUUCGCCUACUCUUCAUAACAUGACAUUGACCUACAUUCCAUAAGGUUGUAUACCAUUGCUUGAGUUAUAUAUUGUGGCCAAUAGAGUUUGAAUAUCUGUGUUGUUUGAACGAAUUAUGAAGGCUCGCUAUGUAUGAUGGGGCACAAAGAGGUAGAUUUUACUACCAACUAUCAACAACGUGAUGAUCUAUCUUGCUAUGAUUGUGUGGUCUGAAGAAGAUAUAUAUAUAGGUAACUAGGAUCAACAUUUGGCGUACCAUUGAUCCAGUGAGCAUCUCAAAGUCAGUUGGUGAGCCUCCUUUCAUUCCGGAGGACGUCCUUAUUAUUUAAUUAUUUGCUUCAGUUUUCAGUUAUUAGGAUGAAUGGGGAUCCUGUCCCAACAUCCAUCUUUACUUUAAAGGCUUCAUAGAUAAACAAUGUUGUUUUCUUUGGUCUUUCAUUUCAUUUGUAAAGACUUGAAGUUUCCAUUUUGCCUAAGUACUAUUUUAAAGUUAUUCUUGAGUUA